UGAGGAAUAUUGCACAAUGGGCGCAAGCCUGAUGCAGCAACGCCGCGUGCGGGACGAAGGCCUUCGGGUCGUAAACCGCUUUUCUGGGGGAAGAGCAAGGACGGUACCUCAGGAAUAAGUCUCGGCUAACUACGUGCCAGCAGCCGCGGUAAAACGUAGGAGGCGAGCGUUAUCCGGAUUUACUGGGCGUAAAGCGCACGCAGGCGGCUCUGUUAGUCGGACGUGAAAGCUCUCGGCUUAACCGGGAGAGGCCGUUCGAUACUGCGGGGCUUUAGGUAGGGAGAGGAAUGCGGAAUUCCCGGUGUAGUGGUGGAAUGCGUAGAUAUCGGGAGGAACACCUGUGGCGAAAGCGGCAUUCUGGCCCUCACCUGACGCUGAGGUGCGAAAGCGUGGGUAGCAAACA
RNAcentral lists this ribosomal RNA (403 nucleotides) under uncultured bacterium. RNAcentral's name for it is "bacterial SSU rRNA". It matches the Rfam family "Bacterial small subunit ribosomal RNA", at positions 355 to 774 of the family's 1533-position model. The record is from RNAcentral.